CCCAUUUGAAAUAACAACCCUAAGAUUCCCUCUCCCAAAUAUGAUCCUCAGGCUACACCCUGGUCCAGAUAUAAAGCCCUCUUGGGAAUCCUGAGCGUACACCCCUCCAGGAACUGCAGACUUGCAUGUUCAGCGGUACAUGUGACAUGGGAACACGCACACACACACACUUCUGGAACAUCUCAGAAUCACCCAGUCCAAAUUCUAACCUGUAAGCUUCCUCAGCAACCCGCUCCUUCCGCCCAACAUCUCCACUUCCAUUCUCCCAGAUGCUCAGCAAAACAAAAAAGAAAGAAUGAAAAAGAAACAAACAAAAAACAUUCAGGGUAGUCCUUCACUCCCUACUUUCGGUCACAGCAUCCCCGAGGGCUCUAUCCUUAAGCUCUAUCUGGAAUCCCUCCCCUACUGCCAUCACUCUGGUCUGGACGCCAUUAUAACUCUCCUGGAGUUUAAUUGCAGCAGCCUCUUCAUGGGUCUCCCUCCAACCCCCAGUCUCCCCUGAGCCAUCUUUGGGAAACUUAAAAUCCUAACCUAGAUUGUGUCCCUGUUCUGUUCACAACUCCCCAUGGCUAGUAACGCCCUAGGAAUGAAGGUCCAGCUCUUCAGGUUGCCAUUCCACGUAUGGCUCCUCCCCUCACGCUCCAUUCCUUGCAGGCGCCACACAGAUCCUAGGUUUCCCCCAUGCUCCCGACUCAGUCGCACAUCCAAGCCUUUGCACUUGCUGGUCCCUCUGCCUGCAACUCUCCCAUAUCUUCUCACUGGCUGUCAGAAACAGGGACCCCACUCACGAGUACCCCACUGUCCUGGACACAGCCGCCUGGGCUUCAGUGACCUGAGCAGGCGCCCUCAUUCGGGGCUUUAGGAUUCGGAGGUGGGGGUCGGGUCGCGUGACGACGGGGGAUGGCAGCACCCACCUGCGCCGGGUCCAACAGCGCAGCCGCCGCCCUCUGAGCCCGUGGGCGGAGCGAGCGGCGGGGAAUAAGGGAGGGGGCGGGGAGACACCGAGUGGCGACGCUGCAGAGCCUCGAAGUUGCCUCUGUGCGAUGAGGACAAGGCUUUCUCUCCCGUCACGUCGGAUAUGAGACAGCGCUCCAGAGCCUCUGAUCCGGUGCACCAACCCAAGAACAGAUAAGAUAACCGCCAGGAACACAACGCCAGAAGUCCCGCCCUUGAGUGGCGCGUAAUGCACGGACCGUCCCUCUCCAGUUCUUCAUUGGCCCAGUGACACUUAUGCUUACGGUGGAGACCCUUCUGGUUUUAUAGCCAUGACUCGACCCAAGAUUGGACUUCACUUCCAGAACCCUGUUGUCACUGCACAGGGAACUAAUGGCACCUUGCAAAUCCUUUGAAUGACUCUCUUGUUCGUGAAUUUGGGAAUGCUUUGGUGAAUUCAAUUCUUAAAGCAGUGCUCUGGGCCUCAUCUCUGUUACAGCAUGGCAUGCCUCUCACCGAUGCCUUAUCUCUAAGAUUCUCCAACAGCUGUCAGCCGACAACAUGCUCAACAUGUAAUAUAGCUAAUCCUUCAAAGCCAACAAGAAUGUGAAGGCCGGUGCAACCUUGAAAACUACUUUGACCAACCUUAACCGCACAAUGACUCUUACUCUGUCCAUAAUAGUGUUUAAGGACAGAUUUUCCCUAUCUUAAACAAAGCAGAGACUGACCAAGUGCUCAUAAUUACCCGUAACAUGCCCACUAAUUUAGCUUGACAAAUUUUAGUCAGGCUUCUCUCCUCCUGAUAGGUUCCUGAACUUUGGCUCAUCCCCAGGCUUAAGCAAGCUCUAAGAUACACACACUCCACCCCACCCCCCCUUAACAGCUCAUUCUGAGAACAGGCUAACUACAGAGAGAAACAUUACCUGUUCCCAUCAUGCUCUCUGCUCAGUCCCACCACUUGCCCCCUCAUACAAAUUUCCUGCUAUCCCUGAUUACCCUUCCCUAUAAAAGAAUACCUUUUUCUGUUCGAUUUUGAGACAUUUGCAGAACUUGUAGUCAGAGCGUUCUCCCUAUUGUAAUUGUCUUUUCGAAUAAAGUUUCUUCUUACAUAAGUCUGGAUUUGUUUUUAUUUGACAGUAGAAAUGAACAGGAAUUCUGUG
Molecule: long non-coding RNA, 2093 nt
Filed under: Equus caballus (horse)
Lineage: Eukaryota; Metazoa; Chordata; Mammalia; Perissodactyla; Equidae
Description: lncRNA (ENSECAG00000052823.1)
Source: RNAcentral